CCCAGACUAGCAAGGAGUCCAGUCUGUGAAAGAAGCUUAUUGAAACAUCUCUGAGGAUUUCAGCUUUGAAAUCCAUCUGGCCUGUGGGCAAAUUAAAAACUUGAUCCCCUUUCCCACUGGCAGAAGUUGGUCCAAUCAAAGCGAUUACCUCACCCACCUUGUCUCCCCAGUAGUGUGGGACCAGCACGGCUACAACCACCCCUGCAUGAUUAAACAUUGUCAGUGAUGGAGAACCCACGGCGACCCUUGGAAAUCAGAACUGGACACAGGAAUCCAGCAGUAGUCACAUGAGCGCCAGAUACGGCGG
Molecule: long non-coding RNA, 307 nt
Organism: Trachemys scripta elegans
Lineage: Eukaryota; Metazoa; Chordata; Testudines; Emydidae
Exons: 3
Source: RefSeq, a predicted model, not a curated record